CCCUACUCCAUUUCUGAAACUGCCGAAUCUUCUUCGUCCGACGAUGACAGCGGCGAUUUAAUAUAUUGUGGUCCAUACAUUCCGCAUAUAUCGUAUCCUCUCUCUUCUUUUACGUGUGGUAAAUAGUUGGAAAACAUCGGUGGUAGAGGUAAUGUAAUUGAUAUAUAGCUCCUUACUCUGUAUAUUCAUCCAGCACUUUGCUAAUUGAGUAGUUGUUUACAUCCUUAUUUGACUGACAUAACUCACAUCAUGUUUCGGCAUACUCGCUAAGGUUUUUUCAUCUUGAAU
Non-coding RNA from Cinara cedri, 288 nucleotides. The record is from the annotation of a GenBank genome assembly. NCBI's taxonomy places the organism in Eukaryota, Metazoa, Arthropoda, Insecta, Hemiptera, Aphididae.